GACGAACGCUGGCGGCGUGCUUAACACAUGCGAGUCGAACGGAAAGGCCUUUUCGGAGGUACUCGAGUGGCGAACGGGUGCGUAACACGUGGGUGAUCUGCCCUGCACUCUGGGAUAAGCCUGGGAAACUGGGUCUAAUACCGGAUAGGACCGCACUUUAGUGUGUGUGGUGGAAAGUUGUUUCGGUGUAGGAUGAGCCCGCGGCCUAUCAGCUUGUUGGUGGGGUACUGGCCUACCAAGGCGGCGACGGGUAGCCGGACUGAGAGGUUGGUCGGCCACAUUGGGACUGGGAUGCGGCCCAGACUCCUACGGGAGGCAGCAGGGGGGAAUAUUGCACAAUGGGCGCAAGCCUGAUGCAGCGACGCCGCGUGGGGGAUGACGGCCUUCGGGUUGUAAACUCCUUUCGCCAGGGACGAAGCGUUUUGUGACGGUACCUGGAGAAGAAGCACCGGCUAACUACGUG
RNAcentral lists this ribosomal RNA (463 nucleotides) under uncultured bacterium. RNAcentral's name for it is "partial 16S ribosomal RNA". It matches the Rfam family "Bacterial small subunit ribosomal RNA", at positions 28 to 507 of the family's 1533-position model. The record is from RNAcentral.